RNAcentral lists this transfer RNA (69 nucleotides) under Tenomerga trabecula. Its description in RNAcentral is "tRNA-Phe". Lineage: Eukaryota; Metazoa; Arthropoda; Insecta; Coleoptera; Cupedidae. The record is from RNAcentral.
ACUUGAAUAGCUUAUAAUGUAAGAGCAUAAUAUUGAAGAUAUUAAGGAGAUUAAUUUAAUUUUUAAGUA